CCUACGGGUGGCUGCAGUGGGGAAUCUUGCGCAAUGGGCGAAAGCCUGACGCAGCGACGCCGCGUGAGUGAUGAAGGCCCUAGGGUUGUAAAGCUCUUUCGCCAGGGACGAUAAUGACGGUACCUGGAUAAGAAGCCCCGGCUAACUUCGUGCCAGCAGCCGCGGUAAUACGAAGGGGGCUAGCGUUGUUCGGAAUCACUGGGCGUAAAGCGCACGUAGGCGGAUUUUUAAGUCAGGGGUGAAAUCCCGAUGCUCAACCUCGGAACUGCCUUUGAUACUGGGAGUCUAGAGUCCGGGAGAGGUGAGUGGAACUGCGAGUGUAGAGGUGAAAUUCGUAGAUAUUCGCAAGAACACCAGUGGCGAAGGCGGCUCACUGGCCCGGAACUGACGCUGAGGUGCGAAAGCGUGGGGAGCAAACAGGAUUAGAUACCCCUGUAGUC
RNAcentral lists this ribosomal RNA (440 nucleotides) under uncultured bacterium. RNAcentral describes it as "partial 16S ribosomal RNA". It matches the Rfam family "Bacterial small subunit ribosomal RNA", at positions 338 to 795 of the family's 1533-position model. The record is from RNAcentral.